AGUGAACGCUGGCGAUAGGCCUAACACAUGCAAGUCGAACGGCAGCACAGUAAGAGCUUGCUCUUACGGGUGGCGAGUGGCGGACGGGUGAGGAAUACAUCGGAAUCUACUUUUUCGUGGGGGAUAACGUAGGGAAACUUACGCUAAUACCGCAUACGACCUACGGGUGAAAGCAGGGGAUCUUCGGACCUUGCGCGAUUGAAUGAGCCGAUGUCGGAUUAGCUAGUUGGCGGGGUAAAGGCCCACCAAGGCGACGAUCCGUAGCUGGUCUGAGAGGAUGAUCAGCCACACUGGACCUGAGACACGGUCCAGACUCCACGGGAGGCAGCAGUGGGGAAUAUUGGACAAUGGGCGCAAGCCUGAUCCAGCCAUACCGCGUGGGUGAAGAAGGCCUUCGGGUUGUAAAGCCCUUUUGUUGGGAAAGAAAAGCAGCAGGUUAAUACCCCGCUGUUCUGACGGUACCCAAAGAAUAAGCACCGGCUAACUUCGUG
Molecule: ribosomal RNA, 491 nt
Filed under: uncultured bacterium
Lineage: Bacteria
Description: partial 16S ribosomal RNA
Rfam family: Bacterial small subunit ribosomal RNA
Source: RNAcentral